GAAUUUUUUAUUCAUAAACGGACCUUGACUUUCAAACGGUUUAAUUUUGGCUCAAUUAGAAAGUUUCGAUUGUAAAAGAUUGAGAUAUUUUAUAUUGAAUGGUCAAGGUAAAAAGAUGAAACGUUUUAUGACGUAAGACACGGAGGAAAUAAAUAACUAAAUCAUUUAGAACGUUUAGAACGUGAUAAUAACCGUGCAACGUAUUUACAAGAAGGAGAAGGUCGCGGCGCGUAAUUUAAACUUUAGUGAAAUCAAUCGAAUGGUUGUGAAGCUUUUUAUCCAAAAGUGGAGCAAUAUAAAGAUAACAGUUUACGGUACUUUCUACCGUGUACUUGUUAUCUUCUACCAGAUGUGAUACUUUCGAAAGGAAGAAUGAAAAAUAAAAGAUAUUUAUUAGCUUCUAGUUGAAUAGUCGCUUGUUUUUCUAUCGUUUUAUUGGAAAACGAUUUGUUGGAGAAUACGAAAGUCGUUUGAAUUAAAAGGAACCGAUUUCGUCGAGAAUGUAGGUUAGAAACGUUCGAGUAUAAAUUAUAAAUAAUGAAAAGAGAAUGCGCGAAUCUUCUAGAUGUUUGCGAAUUUUGACUUUGAACGACAGAUCUAUCGGUUUAUCGAUAUUAUCGUUUACAUCAGAUAACUCGAAUGAAUCGUGAGCAUCUCUCUCUCUCUCUCUCUCUCUCUCUCUCUCUCUCUCUUUCUCUCGCUCUCGCUCUUUCUCGCUCUCUAUCGGAUCGAGAAAAAGCGAAGAACCGACAGUCCGUAAAGAUACGCGUUGCCGUGUACCACACAUACAGCACUUGAUAUUCUCCUACUAGUUUGAAAGAUCAUUUGUUGCGAUAGAUCAUAGAUAUAAAUGUUUUUAUUUUUCGAUGAAUUUAAAUGAUUCGCGAGGGAAGUAAGGGUCAAUAAAUGCGCGUAUAGCGUUCUCUUGCUUCAUAGGCUCGCCGAGCCUCAAGCGUCCAUUAAAUUCAAUUACGCCAAUCAAACAACGCGUAUAAUUAUAUUUACAAUUAUAUUACGAGCAUGAUGAUCGUGUCACCGAGCCUGAGCUUAAUCGCAGCCGGAGUGGCUUCUGGGCUUUGCUUUAUCCUCUUCAGUACCUUACGAAAAGGGAAAGAAGCAGACUCACGAAGAAAAACGAAAGAGAUCGUAGUUACGGACGAUGGGCGGUGCGCUUGCUGCCUGAAGCCUUUCUUGAUCGGACGCGGUAUAAGUUGCAACGAUUGCGGCGUCAGAUCCUGCAGAAAAGUUUGUUCUCGUUGGGAUUGCGAAGACAACGCCUGGCAUUGUCUCUUCUGCCAACAGCAAAGAUCGUGGGCGAGAAAAAAGGAGAAGUGGUUCGAAACUUUUGGCGGCACGUUCAAAAAGGAGGAAUUACAUCGUUACUUCGAUACGGCUAAAUCUCGAGUCUAUCUCAACGCAGGAUUGGAAAAUGCAGCUACUGGUUCGAGUUUGGAUCUGGCCGCGGGUGGUCAAGAGGACUCGAACACGAUGGAAACCGUUAGAAUCUUUAUCGAAAAAAUAAUCGAAGAUCUGAUCGGUAACGUGGACGACGCGUCUAUCGAUCGUCUCUACGAUCAUCCGGAAUACAAACCUUCGACGGAUUCGCCAACAAUGGCACACUCGGCUCUUCGCGAGCUCGUCGAACGGGCCGUCGAAGAGGCCAAAAAAUUACCUGGUCUCGCUGGCUCAUCCGUCGAUAAUCCGAGGACGAACGAAGAGUGUAAUAUUUCGGAGCACAGCUACGAAGACCUUCUCGCCACUGCGAUAUUGAAUAAAGUCAUCGAGAAAUUCCAAAGAGAACAAGUGGAUGGAAAUAGCAACGUCCUGCAUGAAAAGCCUUCGGCUAAAGCGGAAAACGAAAUCGAAUUAGGUCUCGACGAAGGCGUCGAAGAAGGUAGCAGCAGUUUGGAGCCUUUAUCUCAGGACGAAUGUAGUAGCGAUUGCAGCGGACCACGUUCGAGGCACUCACGAAAUCGUCAAGAGCCAUUAUCCCUUACGAUAGAGGAACGGAUAGAGGAGGUAACAACCACCUAUACAUCCGACGAAGAUCCUCCGGAAUGUGUAAAGAAUGGACUACGUAUCACAAAUGUUCGUCGUGUGCCAUUUCCGGAGCUUGGUAUGGACAUAAUCGAUCCCUCUCAGGAAUCUUCCGAUGAAAGCCAAGACGAAGAGUAUGUAUCGACGGUUCACGUCAAUCUCGUAUCACCGUUUCAAUCCUGGGAAGAGAAUUGGCUGUUUCAAAAGAAAAGAGUACCGAUUCAAUCGGAUCCUGUUGCCAUGCUCGUACCAAGCUCCAGUGCCGAUUUUAAAGCUUUGAUCGGCGAUAAGGAUGCCGAGGAUACCUCCGAUCUUUCAGAAUGUUCGUCGGCGCAAUCUGACGAAGAAAUCGAAAAGGAACUCAUAGAAGCGAUCAAUAACGUCGUACCACGAUCACCGAGAAUAUCGGAAUCCGAGAUGGUAGAAAGUUCGUUGAAUGAAAAUGAAGUUGCUAUUAAGAAUAUUGAAGAUUUUCAUUCGACGGAGAAGUCUUGCGAAUUUACUGAAACGUUAUUCACGUUGGAUGAUGAAGAUGGAAUUACUAGAGAAUUGUGUAACGGUGACGUUAAAUGCACCGAAAAGAUGAACGGCGAAAGAAAUGCGAUCGAGGAAAUUCAGGGAGAGACGAAACUCGUGAAGAAUUCUUUGAACGAUGGCUUAGAGAUGGAAGAAACGAAUUGUAAAACAGAAAUGAAUGAUAAAAUGUUUGAGACAGGGUCGGCGGAAUGCGAAGUCGAAAAUAAGCAAAUGGUAGAUUCGAAGAGUGAAAUACAAAGAACGGAUAUCCGAUUACUUCAGUCUCAAAAGGAUACCUUGCCGGAUGUGCCAAAGAUACCGAUUCCGUCCACGUUGGAAAAUAAUUUUGAUAUUGUAACUAACGACGUGACAGUUUUGGAUUUCAACGAGAAGGAAAUUUUUAAUUCUUUGGAAGCGACUCGAUAUUAUAAAAUAAUGGAUCAGGAUAUCGACGGCGAGGAGGAUAAGACGUUGUACUCGUUAGACGUCUAUUCUAAGGAAGAAAUACACUUUGAAGAUGGUGCUCAGCAAGAAAGCGAAUAUACCGAACAUUAUGAUACGGCAACACAGAGACACUUGGACAGUCUAACGAAAGAUGACAUCUACGUGUCACAAAAUGACAUAAUUAACAACGAAGUAAUGGAAAUAAACAAUACCGAGUCAAAUUCAUUGUUCAAAGACGAAACCAGCAAGUGCCAAGAAGCUGUGACAUUUGCCAAAGCUGAUUCGGCUUCUUAUUUAUCCUUGGAAAAGAUAGCCAAUAAAGAUGUACAACUGGCUACACCUCCACGUCCAGGUACGAUCGCUGAAAGAGAACAUAGAAAGUGGGAAAAUGCACCACCGAUUGAAAAUAAUCCUUACAGCGAACAGAGCAUUCAAAAAAGACUUUUGGAAAGACAGUAUAGCAGAAGGUCGGCGGAUAUUCCAGGAAUUCAUCCCGAAUUGCCGAAGAGCAACGGAACCGAUCUUGUUCUAGUACCGAAUGAACCGGAUAUUAAACGGUUUGGCAGAGAUUAUUACAUCAAUAAUGCAAAAUCACCAUCCGGAGAUAAGACACGAAAAGCAACAACAGCGUCCGCAACGAGCAGGCCUAGCAGUGCAUUGUCUCAACGUUCGGCUUCGACCGGGACUGAACAAGAACAACAGGUGAGUUUCGAACUUGGAAAGUUCGAAGAGGCUUCAUUACAUGGUAGCCUCGCUAGACGGAGUUAUCGCGAUCGACACGCCAGUCCAAAUUUUGCUAUCAACCCUCUGUUGCGUUUGGAAUUCGACAAAGAUUUUAAUCAAACGAAGAUCGCGGACGAACCAAGAUUAUUGAUCGAGGAAUCGGAGGAAAAUAUAUUUACUGACGAUGGUCAAAGUCGCAUUAAUAAUGAUGUUGAAAUACUUACCGGUUCAUGGGCAAGCAAAAUAUCGAGCAAGUUUCACAAUGAUAUAACCAUUAUCGACAGUAUCGAAUCCGACAAUGUGACCAUUAAUCCAUUAUACCAAUCUCCUAAGGAUGAACGUUUAUUGCCAAUUGGUUCGAGUCCAAGCGAUCGUGAUUCCGGUAUGGAUUCGAUCGAAUCGAACGAUCUGGGAUCUAAUAAAACGAAGGACGAUUAUUGGGAGAAAUUAUUCUGUUCAAAGGAUGAAAUUAAUGCUAAAGAGAAUCAAAUAAUAUCGACAAAUAACAAAAGAUACCUUAAUACGUUCAAUUACAAAUAUCAUACUUUUGGUGGAAUCCGAAAUUCGAUUGUCCAUAGGCAAGAUCGUAUAAUUAACGAAUUCGAAGAUGACGAUUUUGAGAACGACGUCGUGAAAGAUAAUAAUUUCCUUUCCGGUACACCCGAUUUUGUUAAUAUGAAAUUUCAAACGUUCGGUGGAAUAAAAAACAGUAAAAAGAUCAAUAGUAAAAAGAUACAAGCUUACAGUAGAAUAAAACUAAGGCCAACUAUGCAAAUGACGAAGGGAUCAAAGUUUAAACAUUCCGUGAAUAGAUCUAUUGUUAAUAAUAAAGGAAAUAAGUCGGUGGAUGUAACAAAGAGCGAGACUCUCGACGAGGACGAUUGGUUGGACGAAGUAGAACACGUGGACACAAAAUCUCUUGAAUGCAAAUUCAAAUCGAAGGAUAGGGAUUCUUUGCGUCUUUUAAAUUAUAAUUCUAAUGUUAGAAAUAGGUGUAAAAAGGUCCUCAAAAGGCAAAAGAGAAUAGGGAGUCUAGAAAAUAAGGAAUACGAUGAAGAGACAUGCAAAAAUGUAGAUAACAUGGAUGAAGUAACAAAUUUUAUAGACGAUACCUUGAGUAGUAGUUUGAAAUCAUUAUCGUCGACCAAUUCUACAUCUUAUCAAUCGGUAAAUUUGUCAAAAAAAGGCGGAACAAGAAAGAUGAUUGCCAAAGGCAAAUUAGUAAAACAACAUUCACGUUCUUCGGAGGAAGAAAAGUUGAAAUUGGAACCUCCUAUUAUACCACAAGUCAUUGAACAAAACUUUAAGACGUUGAAAGAGCUUAAAAUUUCUAAUAUUCGAAAAAAGAAAUAUAAAGAUAAUCCUACCAAAAAAAUAUUAAAUAUAAGAAGCUUGAGUAAUAUUACGAUUUGGUAACGACGUAAGAUUUGUAAUAAACGAACGAAGUACCAUUAUACUUUAUAGAUAUUUUUAUAUCAAAGUCAAAUUUCUGUAAUUAUCAAAGAAAAUCGAUGGAUCUUCCAAAAAAAAAAAAAUUGCAUUUAAAGAGUUAAUAUAAAGUGAAGUAUCUCGUAUUCUAGGAAUCAUUUACAAGUGAUAUAUUCCAAAGAAGUAUAUACCAAAAUCGUAGAAUCUUUUUUUCAAAGUUAACAUGGUGAAAUAAUUUAGAUGUGCCAUUAUUCUUCUUCCUAUUUUGUUAUUUUUUUUUUUUUUUUUGAACGUUGUUUAACCUUUUUUUUUUUGUUUUUUUAAUAAUAAUGUCAUGAAUUUUAUUCAUCUCAGGAAUAUGGCGGAAUAUUUAUAUUAUUUUACGCCUUAUGAUCUCAUUUAAGAUUUAAUUACAAAUAUCAAUUGUUUUGGGAGUAAACCGAGGGCCUAGCUGUAGUUAACUUUUAAUAUGUACUAUUAUAUAAAAGUUAUAAUAAUUUAAAUAUAUUAUUUAUGUAAUAUCUAUUUUUUUUUGUCGUUGUUAAAAAUCGCAUGCUUUAGGUGUCGGUUAUUUAAUACAUCGUUAUUUUCAGCAAAUCGAUAUAUUCGAUUUUUUCUUCUGUUACGCGUGCACUUAUCGUAGUUGUAAAGUCACAAUAAUAAUUUAUUAAUUAUAUUGUAUAUAACAGUGUAUAUAUAGUACUGCACCAACUUGUGUAAGAGUCACUGAUAAAAUGUGAAACUCGCUGUCUCUACUAUUAAUUUGAUAUUAUACAAAGCAACACUCUAUUCGCGCUGCAUAUGCAUGAAAGCUGUGAUAAAAUAAAUUGGAACGAAACUUUUGGACAGCUUAAUUUUGCCGAUUUCUAUCCUAAGGGUAACACAGAAUGGAUAUGAGUAUAUACUUUUUUGGACUUUCAAUUUAAUUCAUUAUUUCUUACUCGAAUAGUUUUGACUAAACAAGAAAUUAUGCUCUCCUAACACCGCAGACAAUAUUUGGGUAUAUGCUUCUGUUUGCUUUACUCAAAGAAUACGAGAUAUGACCUAAUCAAAAACUAUCGAAUCUUACGUGGUAUGGUAUGCAUGGUU
Molecule: RNA transcript, 6237 nt
Organism: Vespa velutina
Lineage: Eukaryota; Metazoa; Arthropoda; Insecta; Hymenoptera; Vespidae
Gene name: myb-like protein X
Exons: 15
Source: RefSeq, a predicted model, not a curated record